RNAcentral lists this ribosomal RNA (965 nucleotides) under Molgula echinosiphonica. Its description in RNAcentral is "SSU rRNA". It matches the Rfam family "Eukaryotic small subunit ribosomal RNA", at positions 626 to 1617 of the family's 1831-position model. The record is from RNAcentral. Lineage: Eukaryota; Metazoa; Chordata; Ascidiacea; Stolidobranchia; Molgulidae.
GCUCGUAGUUGGAUCUAGUGUGCCGGGCGCCGGUCCGCCGCAAGGCGUGCACUGGCGUUCGACCUCUCUUUGUCGGUUCUCGGUCGGUGCUCUUGACUGAGUGUCUGCCGUGGCCGGCGGUUUUACUUUGAAAAAAUUAGAGUGUUUAAAGCAGGCUAGUCGCCUGUAUAUUCGUGCAUGGAAUAAUGGAAUAGGACCUCGAGUCUGUUUUUGUUGGGUUUAUGACUCGAGGUAAUGAUUAAGAGGGACAGACGGGGGCAUCCGUACUCUGCCGUUAGAGGUGAAAUUCUUGGAUCGGCGGAAGACGAACUAUUGCGAAAGCAUUUGCCAAGAAUGUUUUCUUUAAUCAAGAGCGAAAGUCAGAGGUUCGAAGACGAUCAGAUACCGUCCUAGUUCUGACCAUAAACGAUGCCAACUAGCGAUCCGCCGACGUUACCAUGACGACUCGGCGGGGAGCUCCCGGGAAACCAAAGUCUUUGGGUUCCGGGGGAAGUAUGGUUGCAAAGCUGAAACUUAAAGGAAUUGACGGAAGGGCACCACCAGGAGUGGAGCCUGCGGCUUAAUUUGACUCAACACGGGGAAACUCACCCGGCCCGGACACAGGUAGGAUUGACAGAUUGAGGGCUCUUUCUUGAUUCUGUGGGUGGUGGUGCAUGGCCGUUCUUAGUUGGUGGAGCGAUUUGUCUGGUUAAUUCCGAUAACGAACGAGACUCUAUUCUGCUAAAUAGUUACGCGACCCUGUCGGUCGGCGUUGUUAAACUUCUUAGAGAGACUAGUGGCGUUUAGCCACACGAGAUUGAGCAAUAACAGGUCUGUGAUGCCCUUAGAUGUCCGGGGCUGCACGCGCGCUACAAUGAAUAAAGCAGCGUGUCUGUUACCUUGGCCGAAAGGUCUGGGAAACCCCGAAAAUUUAUUCGUGCUAGGGAUAGAGAUCUGGAAUCCUCUCUUGAACGAGGAAUUCCCAG